Molecule: long non-coding RNA, 354 nt
Organism: Pomacea canaliculata
Lineage: Eukaryota; Metazoa; Mollusca; Gastropoda; Architaenioglossa; Ampullariidae
Exons: 3
Source: RefSeq, a predicted model, not a curated record
GAACAUUGUCUCUUGUUAACUUGUUAAUUAGAGAAGCAGAACUGAUUACAGAGAGGAGUGUAGCUAAACUAUUCUCGCUAGAUUCUUGUGAAUAAACCAGAGCUAAAAUCGGUGUCAACAGAUCGGAGAAAUUAUAAUAGGAGUGGUCGCGAUGACUAUGCAGCUUCUUGUGUGUUUGUUUACACUCGUGAUUCAGCACCACGUACAGAAAACACAAGAUACGGGAUGGAAGCUCCGAGCUGUCACCGUCUAUGGGUAUCUUCUGUAACACGAGUGUUCCGGACAGAGUGAGGUCCACGUCUAACACCAUGUGGAUCAGAUUCCGGUCUGGCUCACAGUCAGGCACUGGCUUCA